Molecule: ribosomal RNA, 497 nt
Filed under: uncultured bacterium
Lineage: Bacteria
Description: partial 16S ribosomal RNA
Rfam family: Bacterial small subunit ribosomal RNA
Source: RNAcentral
GAUGAACGCUGGCGGCGUGCCUAAUACAUGCAAGUCGAGCGAACAGACGAGGAGCUUGCUCCUCUGACGUUAGCGGCGGACGGGUGAGUAACACGUGGAUAACCUCCCUAUAAGACUGGGAUAACUUCGGGAAACCGGCGCUAAUCCCGGAUAAUAUAUUGAACCGCAUGGUUCAAUAGUGAAAGACGGUUUUGCUGUCACUUAUAGAUGGAUCCGCGCCGCAUUAGCUAGUUGGUAAGGUAACGGCUUACCAAGGCAACGAUGCGUAGCCGACCUGAGAGGGUGAGCGGCCACGCUGGAACGGAGGCACGGUCCAGACUCCUACGGGAGGCAGCAGUAGGGAAUCUUCCGCAAUGGGCGAAAGCCUGACGGAGCAACGCCGCGUGAGUGAUGAAGGUCUUCGGAUCGUAGAACUCUGUUAUUAGGGAAGAACAAAUGUGUAAGUAACUAUGCACGUCUUGACGGUACCUAAUCAGAAAGCCACGGCUAACUACGUG